This 1701-nucleotide long non-coding RNA is filed under the name Betta splendens (Siamese fighting fish). RNAcentral's name for it is "lncRNA (ENSBSLG00000018928.1)". Lineage: Eukaryota; Metazoa; Chordata; Actinopteri; Anabantiformes; Osphronemidae. The record is from RNAcentral.
UGAAGAUUGUUGGCUUCAUAAAACCACCUUCAUGAUCACGAUGACGAUCAUAAUCCAGAGUGCGGUUCCACACAGAGGUGAAAUAAAACAGGACACUUUUAGGUCUAACGGUUCAGACUUAACUGCGUACGACCUAACUGCUUUCAGCAAAUAUUGUUUUCUAACAUAUUUGAAUAAACGGUGAUAUAUUAUCAUAGAUUUAAGUAAUCUACCUGUCAAUCUCUAGAUUCAUGCAUUAUUAUUAUUUUACUGAUGUGAUCCUGAACCAAUCGUUCAAAAUACGUUCUUUGGAGAAUUACAGCACUUUCAUUCCGUCUUCCUUUUAUUUUGAAAGUACUUAAUGGAAGUCCCUCCCGCCGCUCUCCGCGCUCCCGCGUUGUUUUGGGAACGCUCGGUAUCCAGAUGAGCGCGCGCUUCCCGAACUCUAAUCGCUCGGGCUGACAUCACGCGGAGGAUUUGCUACAAUGUCAAACAUCCACAGGCUGCGCGAGCUCAUGGCUUCCCCGCGCCACAAUGAGAAGCGUCGCCGCGUGCAGCUGCUCGUCCUCUGAACGCACAGCUCCGUUCACCUUCGCUGGGUUUAAUCCAUGGUCCCGGACGGGAUGCGUUUGAGGUUCGAGUGAGCGCGAGAGCCAGGUCAGAGGUCAGAGGUCAGAGGUCAUGCUGCGGAGGGACUCGCACUCCCACGGCCUCUUCUCCUCCGGCGAGACGUCCGACAAUGACUGUGAGAUGGGGGCGAGCUGUGGAGAGGUAGAUGUAGUGUGUCUGUGCGAGGCCGGUCCCUGUACACUUUAUUCAGAAGCACAUACGCCUACGCCGGGCACGCUGCUGUGCGAACACUGUGGAAGAAACAGAGUAUUAUUGAACAGGUACUCCGAGGGAUACGGCACAGAGGAAGAGUGUGUGAUGUCUGACCCACAGGGCGAGAGCGAUGCAGAUGCUGACAUAGAGGAUACAGAUUGCAGACUCCAGGAGCCCGGUUCCCUCCAGCGAAUCAGCUCGCGGAGACGCAAGCGUCCGCGAGUAGCUCGCCAAGACACCACUGAGAGCGAGGACGACGGCGGACGCAGCAACAGGACUCAUCGCUGGAACCUGAGGCUCAGUCCUGACAGGACACACAGCAGGAUCAUACUGGAGGAGAGCAUAUCACAGGUCCGGCCACUGGUCAUUUGCCGGCCAAGCGUGAAGAGUCCAGCUGAGCAGGCCAGAGGUUCCAAACGGACGUCUCUGUGGCCGCCAUCCUUCUCUCUUCCGCUCCUCCUCCUCCUCUCGCUGCCUCUCUCCCUGUCCCUCAUCAUCGUUAUGGUUUCUUUCUUCCUACCAUGGGCCAGCGCCUGAGAUUAUCAUUCCGAAAAAGAAACCAGAGGGAAGCACAAUAACAGAAGCAGCAACGUGAGGUUUUGGCUCCAUUAAAUCCAAUACGACACAGAUUGACACAGGUUAAACAAAUCCUACAUUCACAAUGGACCCGCAGUGAAAGCAACGUGCACUCAGUGCUUUCCGCUGCCUCAGAAAACCUCACUUUCUGUCUCGCGUCCUCACCCCCUCAAUUGUAAAAAUAGACCUCUCUCGUCUCGUUCCACGUUCUAAUGAGCGACAGGUGUGGGAAGGGUUUCAGGGCUGCGCAGGUACUUUCAAUCAGGAACAUAGCAGGCUCGGUGAACACAAACAAUAAAAAACACGAUGCUGCUGAACUAUGCA